GGUUGCGAUCAUACCAGCACUAAUGCACCAUAUCCCAUCAGAACUCCGCAGUUAAGCGUGCUUGGGCGAGAGUAGUACUAGGAUGGGUGACCCCCUGGGAAGUCCUCGUGUUACAACCCC
RNAcentral lists this ribosomal RNA (120 nucleotides) under Helianthus annuus (common sunflower). The record is from RNAcentral. Lineage: Eukaryota; Viridiplantae; Streptophyta; Magnoliopsida; Asterales; Asteraceae.